UACGUAGGGUGCAAGCGUUGUCCGGAAUUAUUGGGCGUAAAGAGCUCGUAGGCGGUCUGUCGCGUCGGCUGUGAAAUCCCGAGGCUCAACCUCGGGUCUGCAGUCGAUACGGGCAAACUAGAGUAUUGCAGGGGAGACUGGAAUUCCUGGUGUAGCGGUGAAAUGCGCAGAUAUCAGGAGGAACACCGGUGGCGAAGGCGGGUCUCUGGGCAAUAACUGACGCUGAGGAGCGAAGGCGUGGGGAGCGAACGGG
This 253-nucleotide ribosomal RNA is filed under the name uncultured bacterium. RNAcentral's name for it is "partial 16S ribosomal RNA". It matches the Rfam family "Bacterial small subunit ribosomal RNA", at positions 524 to 776 of the family's 1533-position model. The record is from RNAcentral.